AUAAGUUCUUAUUUCUCUUUCUUUACAUAACUUCUUAUUUCUUUUUCUUUACUUCUCCUUUCUUUAACUUUCUUUACUUUUGCUCUUAUUAUUCUUUCUUUACUUACUCUAAAGAUAUCUUUAGUUCUCUCCUUUUUGUUACUUUAUUUACUCUAAACAAUAUCUUUACUUCUUCCCUAAGAUCUUUACUUCUCCUAAAAUAAAUACUCUUUCUUUACUUCUCCCCCUUUUUGUUAUCAUCAAAAAGAUACAUGGGAAAGAUGCAAUAAAUACCAAACUUCAAACUUCAUUGAUCAAAAUGGGAACAUUUUCAUACAUUCAUGCCAAAAACAAAAACAGAUACAAUGUUCCUGAAUUAAAGUUUAAAGAUACAUGAUAAAAGCAAAAUACAUAUGAGAACUAGAUAUCUAGCCUAGGCUCUAAACAUAGACGCUAAGAUCAGCCUAGGGAGACUCUAACGGCUGGGAUCUAGUCCUCAUCCUCCUAGUGUACGUGGCGAGGGGAGGUCGAGCCUGAUGAGACUGUGUCUGGCGUGGAGCACGACGAGCUGGAUGACUCUGUGCCGAAAUCUCUGACUCAGCAGCCUGUGGCACAGAUGGUCCAUGGGUCUCUCUCUCCGGAGUGCUCCUAUCUGCUGCCUCAGAUCACUGAUCUCAGCAGACAUGACGUCCAAUCGGCUCGUCAGCCCGUCAGUGAUAGUCCUCGCCUGAGCUGACAUAAGCUCAGUCAUCCUGCUCCAGAACUCAUCCGUAUCUCUCGGAGGAACGGAUGAUGAUGGUCCAGCCUCUGAAG
This 792-nucleotide long non-coding RNA is filed under the name Phoenix dactylifera (date palm). RNAcentral's name for it is "long non-coding RNA (PDAC_LNC018103)". Lineage: Eukaryota; Viridiplantae; Streptophyta; Magnoliopsida; Arecales; Arecaceae. The record is from RNAcentral.